UACGAAGGGGGCUAGCGUUGCUCGGAAUCACUGGGCGUAAAGGGUGCGUAGGCGGGUCUUUAAGUCAGGGGUGAAAUCCUGGAGCUCAACUCCAGAACUGCCUUUGAUACUGAGGAUCUUGAGUUCGGGAGAGGUGAGUGGAACUGCGAGUGUAGAGGUGAAAUUCGUAGAUAUUCGCAAGAACACCAGUGGCGAAGGCGGACUCACCUGGCCCGAGUACUGACGCUGAGGCACGAAAGCGUGGGGAAGCCAAACAG
RNAcentral lists this ribosomal RNA (257 nucleotides) under uncultured bacterium. RNAcentral's name for it is "partial 16S ribosomal RNA". It matches the Rfam family "Bacterial small subunit ribosomal RNA", at positions 524 to 775 of the family's 1533-position model. The record is from RNAcentral.